CUCUUUAAUUUCUUAUUUAAAGUAAAGCCUGCCCACUGCAUUUGUAAAGGGCCGCGGUAUUUUGACCGUGCUAAGGUAGCAUAAUCAUUAGUCUUUUAAUUGAGGAAUAGUAUGAAGGGUUUAACCAGUAAACAAUAUUUUUUACCUUAGUUUUGAAUUUAAGUUUUGAAUUAAAAUGUUCAAGUAGUGUAAGAAGACGAUAAGACCCUUUAGAUCUUUAUCUUAUAGUAGUAUAAAAAUCUUGGGGGAAGAUUUUUAUACUACUAUAAGAUUUUGUUGGGGCAACAAAAGAAUAUAUUAAAUUUCUUUAACAAUUUAUUUUAUAACUUAGUUAAUCUUAGCUUAAAAAUUAAAAAAGUUACCUAAGGGAUAACAGCGUUAUUACUUUUAAGAGUUCUUAUCGAUAAAGUUUUUUGCGACCUCGAUGUUGAAUUAAGAAGUCUUUUGGGAGCAGUUUUUUAUUAGAGAUAGUCUGUUCGACAAUUAAAUUCUUACA
Molecule: ribosomal RNA, 496 nt
Filed under: Orchesella villosa
Lineage: Eukaryota; Metazoa; Arthropoda; Collembola; Entomobryomorpha; Orchesellidae
Description: partial 16S ribosomal RNA
Rfam family: Bacterial large subunit ribosomal RNA
Source: RNAcentral